GGUGGCGGUAAAUUGAGAUGGUGGCCGGAAAUCGAAAAGAGAGAACGAACAGUGACGUCGCAGCCAUAGGUGCCGCGUGCGUAGGUUGGAGGCGGUGUUUGUCGGUGAUUCUCCUUGGGUUGGGUCACCGUCCUUCGCUUGCUUUCUUGGUGGUGGCGGUGUAGUGGAGUGGUGGCCGGAGGUGGUGAUCUCCAAUGAUGGCAGAGGAAUAGAAGGAGAGGUCGGGGAUAAGAAAGGGGGGAAGGCUGUGCGGCCG
This 256-nucleotide long non-coding RNA is filed under the name Rosa chinensis. RNAcentral's name for it is "sRNA RchiOBHm_Chr7g0236401". The record is from RNAcentral. Lineage: Eukaryota; Viridiplantae; Streptophyta; Magnoliopsida; Rosales; Rosaceae.